GGGGCCGCCAUGGUUUCGACGGGGGUUGCAAAGUGGAUGAGGGCAUACCGGGGUCUCAGAUUCCCGUAAAACACUGAAUUUAUAUAGUCGCAAACGACAAUAACUACGCUCUAGCCGCUUAAUCGCGCUAGACUCUGCACUACAGGGCCCAUCGGGUAGGUCGCCUAAAAACGAUACGCAGAGUCAUUAAGAUGGGAUCGCUUUUGCUCGGGUUACUUGGGCAGAGGCUAAAUCUAAGGUAACUCGUUCUCUCCAAGCCUGUCGGUCGGCGUGGUCGGGAAUUAAAACCAAAUGACAUGACUAAGUAUGUAGAACUCACUAUAGAGUGCUUCCGGACGCGGGUUCGACUCCCGCCGGCUCCACCA
This is a non-coding RNA of Janthinobacterium sp. B9-8, 365 nucleotides long. The record is from Rfam. Lineage: Bacteria; Pseudomonadati; Pseudomonadota; Betaproteobacteria; Burkholderiales; Oxalobacteraceae.